CCUACGGGUGGCUGCAGUGGGGAAUAUUGGACAAUGGGGGCAACCCUGAUCCAGCCAUGCCGCGUGUGUGAAGAAGGCCCUCGGGUUGUAAAGCACUUUCAGUGAGGAAGAACGCCUGGUGGUUAAUACCCAUCAGGAAAGACAUCACUCACAGAAGAAGCACCGGCUAACUCCGUGCACAGCAGCCGCGGUAAUACGGAGGGUGCGAGCGUUAAUCGGAAUUACUGGGCGUAAAGCGCGCGUAGGUGGCUUGAUAAGCCGGUUGUGAAAGCCCCGGGCUCAACCUGGGAACGGCAUCCGGAACUGUCAAGCUAGAGUGCAGGAGAGGAAGGUAGAAUUCCCGGUGUAGCGGUGAAAUGCGUAGAGAUCGGGAGGAAUACCAGUGGCGAAGGCGGCCUUCUGGACUGACACUGACACUGAGGUGCGAAAGCGUGGGUAGCAAACAGGAUUAGAUACCCCAGUAGUC
Molecule: ribosomal RNA, 466 nt
Filed under: Vreelandella stevensii
Lineage: Bacteria; Pseudomonadati; Pseudomonadota; Gammaproteobacteria; Oceanospirillales; Halomonadaceae
Description: partial 16S ribosomal RNA
Rfam family: Bacterial small subunit ribosomal RNA
Source: RNAcentral